GACGAACGCUGGCGGCGUGCUUAACACAUGCAAGUCGAACGGAAAGGCCCUGCUUUUGUGGGGUGCUCGAGUGGCGAACGGGUGAGUAACACGUGAGUAACCUGCCCUUGACUUUGGGAUAACUUCAGGAAACUGGGGCUAAUACCGGAUAGGAGCUCCUGCUGCAUGGUGGGGGUUGGAAAGUUUCGGCGGUUGGGGAUGGACUCGCGGCUUAUCAGCUUGUUGGUGGGGUAGUGGCUUACCAAGGCUUUGACUGGUAGCCGGCCUGAGAGGGUGACCGGCCACAUUGGGCCUACGGUACGGCCCAGACUCCUACGGGAGGCAGCAGUGGGGAAUAUUGCACAAUGGGCGGAAGCCUGAUGCAGCAACGCCGCGUGCGGGAUGACGGCCUUCGGGUUGUAAACCGCUUUCGCCUGUGACGAGGCGUGAGUGACGGUAAUGGGUAAAGAAGCACCGGCUAACUACGUG
RNAcentral lists this ribosomal RNA (468 nucleotides) under uncultured bacterium. RNAcentral's name for it is "partial 16S ribosomal RNA". It matches the Rfam family "Bacterial small subunit ribosomal RNA", at positions 28 to 507 of the family's 1533-position model. The record is from RNAcentral.